This is a non-coding RNA of Triticum urartu, 637 nucleotides long. The record is from RefSeq and is a predicted model, not a curated record. NCBI's taxonomy places the organism in Eukaryota, Viridiplantae, Streptophyta, Magnoliopsida, Poales, Poaceae.
CCGUUCCCGUAAGUGUCUCACGGCACGAUUAGCGGGCAGCUGUUAUCAGUGGGACGCGACUGUUACCCGAGGGCACUGUUUCAGCCGGGUCACAUGCACACAGAUAACACAGAAUCCUGCCGAGCCCCCCGUGACUCUGUUCCACCUCCGUCCGACGUUGGAGUGGAGUAGCUGUACCUGAGAAUGCUAGGCGGCGGGGGAGACGGAUUCAUUUGAGAUGGGCAUGGAGAGAUCACGGAUCUGAGUGGAGGUCCGCUUGCUGGAAGCCUGGAACAAGAGGAGCCAGGGAAUCAGCCGCAGGUCCGGGCGGGCGGCACCGGGGCACCGCCGCUGGUGCGAUCCCGCGCCGGGAGGCAUUGUUCAAUUAGAUCCCAGCUCAAAAUAGGCAGGCAGGAGGCUUCGCUAAAUCUGUACCUGCGUCCAUGAUUUGGCCGUCAGCAUGCAGAAUCACAGCAAGCUCAAUAAGCUGCCCACAAUUCUGGAAGAAGAUGAGUCAGACAGGGGUGACUGGUAUGGACUUAUCCAAGCAAGCAUUUUUUCCAAGGCGCAUAUUUGUCUCAUGCUGUUGAUGCGUCUUUGUGCUUAAUAAAUGUUUAAUCCAUGUUACUGACUAAUGUAUUACACCUUGAAAUAUCUC